Molecule: ribosomal RNA, 442 nt
Filed under: uncultured bacterium
Lineage: Bacteria
Description: partial 16S ribosomal RNA
Rfam family: Bacterial small subunit ribosomal RNA
Source: RNAcentral
CCUACGGGAGGCAGCAGUAGGGAAUCUUUCACAAUGGGCGAAAGCCUGAUGGAGCAACGCCGCGUGCAUGAUGAAGGCCUUCGGGUUGUAAACUGCUUUUAUAAGCGAGAAAUAUGAUGGUAACUUAUGAAUAAGGAUCGGCUAACUACGUGCCAGAAGCCGCGGUCAUACGUAGGAUCCGAGCAUUAUCCGGAGUGACUGGGUGUAAAGAGUUGCGCAGGUGGCAAAAUAAGUAGCUAGUGAAAUCUGGUGGCUCAACCAUUCAGACUAUUAGCUAAACUGUUAAGCUCGAGACCGUGAGGGGUAACUGGAAUUUCUAGUGUAGGAGUGAAAUCCGUAGAUAUUAGAAGGAACACCGAUAGCGUAGGCAGGUUGCUGGGACGGUUCUGACACUAAGGCACGAAAGCGUAGGGAGCAAACGGGAUUAGAUAUCCCAGUAGUC